RNAcentral lists this transfer RNA (68 nucleotides) under Chaetodontoplus poliourus (greytail angelfish). RNAcentral's name for it is "tRNA-Ser". The record is from RNAcentral. Lineage: Eukaryota; Metazoa; Chordata; Actinopteri; Pomacanthidae.
GAGAGAGGCUGGGCAGCACCGAAGACUGCUAAUCUCCGACCCCCCGGUUAAACUCCGGGGCUCCCUCG